Molecule: transfer RNA, 129 nt
Filed under: Ephemerocybe angulata
Lineage: Eukaryota; Fungi; Basidiomycota; Agaricomycetes; Agaricales; Psathyrellaceae
Description: Coprinellus angulatus tRNA-Val
Source: RNAcentral
GGUUCGAUGGCGUAGUUGGUUAUCGCAUCUGUCUAACAAACUUUGAGUCAGAAUGUGUGCGGGUCCCGCCGCACACAUUCUGAUUUAAUGGGUCACAGAAGGUCGCCAGUUCGAACCUGGCUCGAAUCA